This 253-nucleotide ribosomal RNA is filed under the name uncultured bacterium. RNAcentral's name for it is "partial 16S ribosomal RNA". It matches the Rfam family "Bacterial small subunit ribosomal RNA", at positions 524 to 776 of the family's 1533-position model. The record is from RNAcentral.
UACGUAGGGACCAAGCGUUGUUCGGAUUUACUGGGCGUAAAGGGCGCGUAGGCGGCGUGGUAAGUCACUUGUGAAAUCUCUGAGCUUAACUCAGAACGGCCAAGUGAUACUGCUGUGCUAGAGUGCGGAAGGGGCAAUCAGAAUUCUUGGUGUAGCGGUGAAAUGCGUAGAUAUCAAGAGGAAUACCUGAGGUGAAGGCGGGUUGCUAGGCCGACACUGACGCUGAGGCGCGAAAGCCAGGGGAGCAAACGGG